This 448-nucleotide long non-coding RNA is filed under the name Apteryx rowi (Okarito brown kiwi). Its description in RNAcentral is "lncRNA (ENSARWG00000010430.1)". Lineage: Eukaryota; Metazoa; Chordata; Aves; Apterygiformes; Apterygidae. The record is from RNAcentral.
CUUUUUAAAUGUAUAAAGUGAAGAAUUCCUCUUCCCCCCUCCCCCUUUCCACUCCAAAGAACCAACCUCCUGUUAAUUAAACGCUGGAACUGUUGCUACUUUGCCAGAGGGGGAGAGUGAACCUGUGCCUGCAUGUGUGUAUGUGUAAAAUAGAUACAAAAAUGUCAAUGAACAGCAGGAAAAGUUCUGGGAGACCGUCUUACUACUAUCGACUGCUCCGGAGGUCACGACUUCAGAGACAGCGAAGCAGAUCCCGGAGCCGGAACAGGCCGCUUAGUAGGGAGUCCCCCCCGGAGAGGUGUGGGCAGAGACGCAGUAUGCCCAGUGGGGUCACUGAGAAGAACCCCACCAUGGAGCCCGCUGCCACAACGCCGUUCCGGGUCACGCUGAUUGUUCUUCCCUGACAUCUCCAUCCUUCUGCUACUGAGCCUCCAAGGGACAAAUAAAC